This 168-nucleotide unclassified non-coding RNA is filed under the name soil metagenome. RNAcentral's name for it is "partial internal transcribed spacer 1". The record is from RNAcentral.
GUGAAUUAGACAUGCUUGGUGUCUUCGCUUCGGCAAGGCCCUUGCUUAAAUCACAUCCUAACACCUGUGAACUGUAAGACGUCUGAUGAGGUCUUUGGCCAAGUCAUCGUACUGCCCAUUUUUAACAAACAAUUAAUGUAACAAACGUAGUCUUAUUAUAACCUAAUA